This 469-nucleotide unclassified non-coding RNA is filed under the name Octaviania sp. 24125 CG-2012. RNAcentral's name for it is "sequence contains ITS1, 5.8S rRNA gene, ITS2". The stretch from base 145 to 299 matches the Rfam family "5.8S ribosomal RNA". The record is from RNAcentral. Lineage: Eukaryota; Fungi; Basidiomycota; Agaricomycetes; Boletales; Boletaceae.
UAUUGAAUUUAAAGUAGAUUGUUGCUGGCUUAGGCAUGUGCACAUCUUAUUACCAUCUCACACCUGUGCACCUAUUGUAGAUUCCUAGUGGAUCUAUGUUUUUAUUGCACUAUAUUGUAUGUCCUAUGUACAAAAAAUUAUUACAACUUUCAGCAAUGGAUCUCUUGGCUCUUGCAUCGAUGAAGAACGCAGCGAAUUGCGAUAAGUAAUGUGAAUUGCAGAUUUUCAGUGAAUCAUCGAAUCUUUGAACGCACCUUGCACUCCUUGGUAUUCCAAGGAGUAUGCCUGUUUGAGUGUCAUUUAAUUACCAAUCUAGUAAUUGAUUGGACUUGGGAUUUGCUGGCUUUGAGUAGUCAGCUAUCCUUAAAUGUAUUGUAUUGACGUGCACGGCCUGUCUCCGGUGAUAAAUGAUCCGUUGGUCCGGGCUGGAAGCGUCAAUUAGACAUAAGUGUUUACACUUGACAAUUUG